UACAGAGGGUGCGAGCGUUAAUCGGAAUUACUGGGCGUAAAGGGUGCGUAGGUGGUUAUGUAAGAUUGAUGUGAAAUCCCUGGGCUUAACCUAGGAACUGCAUUGAUUACUGCAUAGCUGGAGUACUGUAGAGGGUAGUAGAAAUUCCGGUGUAGCGGUGAAAUGCGUAGAGAUCGGAAGGAAUACCAGUGGCGAAGGCGGCUACCUGGACAGAUACUGACACUGAGGCACGAGAGCGUGGGGAGCAAACAGG
This 253-nucleotide ribosomal RNA is filed under the name uncultured bacterium. RNAcentral describes it as "partial 16S ribosomal RNA". It matches the Rfam family "Bacterial small subunit ribosomal RNA", at positions 524 to 776 of the family's 1533-position model. The record is from RNAcentral.